Molecule: long non-coding RNA, 1413 nt
Filed under: Malus domestica (apple)
Lineage: Eukaryota; Viridiplantae; Streptophyta; Magnoliopsida; Rosales; Rosaceae
Description: long non-coding RNA (MDOM_LNC017988)
Source: RNAcentral
AUAAUAGUUAAAUUAUGAUUUUUUGUUUUAUAACCGUCGAAAAGUUUUGUCCUGUUACUUGAUCUCUGAAUGUUUGUUUUUUGUAAUUUUUGGCAUAUGCGAUUGCGAAGUAUAUACAAACAUGUUUGACGGUUGGAUCGUUGAAAUUAGUUUCGUAGAAUGCGUGUAUCUCAUCAAUACAAUAGAUUCACUAACACUUAAAAGUUUAUUCAUACUUUCAUUAAGUAUAACAUAAGAUUUUUUGGUAUCCACUAGUGUAUUCAUAUAGGAUCAAGGAGUGUAGUUGCAAAAAAUCAUCAAAAUCGGAGUUCAAAUGACCGUUAAAUUGUGAUUUUUCUUUUUAUAACCGUCGAAAAGUUUUGUCCCGUUACUUGAUCUCUGAAUGUUUGUUUUUGCAAUUUUUGGCGUAUGCGAUCUCGAAGUAUAUAUAAACAUGUUUGACGGUUGAAUCAUUGAAACUAGUUUCGUAGAAUGAGUAUCCCAUCAAAAUAAUAGAUUCACUACUACUUAAGAGUUUAUUCAUACUUUAAUUAAGUAUAAAUCUUAGUGUAAAUAUUUUAAAUUGAAGAUCGAAUUCAUUCAUUGUAUUCAUAUAGGAUCAAGGAGUGUAGUUGUAAAAAAUUAUCAAAAUCGGAGUUAAAAUAACCUUUAAAUAGUGACUUUUCGUUUAUAACCGUAAAAAAGUUUUGUCCCGUUACUUGAUCUUUGAAUUUUUUUUUUGCAAUUUUUGGCGUAUGUGAUCUUGAAGUAUAUACAAACAUGUUUGAUGGUUGGAUCAUUGAAACUAGUUUCGUAGAAUGAGUAUCCCAUCAAAACAAUAGAUUCACUAAUACUUAAGAGUUUAUCCACUAGUGUAAAUAUUUUAAAUUGAAGAUCGAAUUCAUUCAUUGUAUUCAUAUAGGAUUAAGGAGUGUAGCUAUUAAAAAUAAUCAAAAUUGGAGUUAAAAUAACCGUUAAAUCAUGAUUUUUUGUUUUAUAACCAUCGAAAAGUUUUGUUCGGUUACUUGAUCUCUGAAUGUUUGUUUUUUGCGAUUUUUUGCUGAUACGAUCUCGAAGCAUAUACAAACAAGUUUAACGGUUGGAUCGUUGAAAUUAGUUUUGUAUAAUUCUUAUCCCAUCAAGUUCAAUGGUGUGUAUAUAUAUUAAGUAGAUUUAAAUCUAUUUAUUUUGUACGUCUAAUUGACUGGUACACGGAGUAGUACAUCACGUAAAAAAAUAAAAUUUCUCACCACUUUUAUUAAUUUUCAUUUUUCCCUCUUUUUUGUUUCUUUUUCAUCUUUUCUUAUAAUUUUCAUUUUUCCAUCCCUUCUUUUUCUUCAAAGGGCGGCAGCCUACCCAUCUUUCCCUCUCUUUUUUGUUUCCUUUUCAGCUUUUCUUAUAAUUUUCAUUUUCCCUCCCUUUUUCUUCAAAGGG